RNAcentral lists this ribosomal RNA (560 nucleotides) under Klebsiella aerogenes. Its description in RNAcentral is "partial 23S ribosomal RNA". It matches the Rfam family "Bacterial large subunit ribosomal RNA", at positions 2238 to 2797 of the family's 2925-position model. Lineage: Bacteria; Pseudomonadati; Pseudomonadota; Gammaproteobacteria; Enterobacterales; Enterobacteriaceae. The record is from RNAcentral.
ACCGGGGUUGCGGACAGUGUCUGGUGGGUAGUUUGACUGGGGCGGUCUCCUCCCAAAGAGUAACGGAGGAGCACGAAGGUUAGCUAAUCCUGGUCGGACAUCAGGAGGUUAGUGCAAUGGCAUAAGCUAGCUUGACUGCGAGCGUGACGGCGCGAGCAGGUGCGAAAGCAGGUCAUAGUGAUCCGGUGGUUCUGAAUGGAAGGGCCAUCGCUCAACGGAUAAAAGGUACUCCGGGGAUAACAGGCUGAUACCGCCCAAGAGUUCAUAUCGACGGCGGUGUUUGGCACCUCGAUGUCGGCUCAUCACAUCCUGGGGCUGAAGUAGGUCCCAAGGGUAUGGCUGUUCGCCAUUUAAAGUGGUACGCGAGCUGGGUUUAGAACGUCGUGAGACAGUUCGGUCCCUAUCUGCCGUGGGCGCUGGAGAAUUGAGGGGGGCUGCUCCUAGUACGAGAGGACCGGAGUGGACGCAUCACUGGUGUUCGGGUUGUCAUGCCAAUGGCAUUGCCCGGUAGCUAAAUGCGGAAGAGAUAAGUGCUGAAAGCAUCUAAGCACGAAACUUGC